Molecule: long non-coding RNA, 2530 nt
Organism: Marmota monax (woodchuck)
Lineage: Eukaryota; Metazoa; Chordata; Mammalia; Rodentia; Sciuridae
Exons: 4
Source: RefSeq, a predicted model, not a curated record
UCUACAGGGGCAAACCUGUGCUAGGGCCAACCAGAGGCCGGGUCCCUGAGGAUGGGCCUGGCUCUGUGCCUGGGGGCAGCGCGGUCCUGGUAUCAACAGAGGAGAGCCAGGUGCUUGGGAGCCUGGGCCCGGCUUGGAGCCUGGCCUGUGGGGCCAUCCGAGGGGCUGAACCUGGUCUGCAGUAGCCAGCUUGCUUCCUGGAGCCUCAGGCAGGCCUGGCAGCCUGGUCUUUGGGGGUCAGCCUGGAGCUUGGGGCCAGGGCUGGCUUGGUACCAGGCCCUGUAGUCUCUCCCUUGGGUCCCCAGCUCCUGCAUUGUGACGUAUGGCUGGCCAUUCAGGUGCAUGUCCCCAGGAGGGAGUCAGCGCUGGAGCUCCUGUUUUUCCAUCCAACGGAUGUCCUUAAAGACUGUUCUUAUUAACCACAUCAGCAGGGAUUACUCCACAGGGUGUUCUAGGCUCUCUGCUUUCCUGGAAUUUGCAAGAGACUCUGUCCUUUCCACGGGGCUGGGCUGUCUGAGCCGGCCCACGCUCGUCCUUCCUGUCUGAGGAAUCUCACAGGCCCAAGAAGAAAGGACUCGCUCCUUCCUUGCUGCUCCCUGAUGCUGUCACAUGUCGAAGCUUCCCCUGGCCACCCUGCCGUGGGGUGGUUCUGGUUUAUGCAGCUCAGCACCCAGGCCAGUUUCCUCAUGCUGCCUCGGAGACACGUGCACCAGCCAGCCCGCACCCCGCUCGGAGCUGGGGUACCAGUCCUACAAGUUCCCUCCCGGCGUGGACGUUCGAUGACCCCCACUGGCUCCUGUCCUCUCCUCAGGCCUGGGGCACUGCGUGUUCCUCUUUGCUCUUAGGUUGGCUGAUGCCCUGUUGGCACUUUCUGACAUUAUAUUCUUGUUUUAUAAAGUGGUGGGGUUCUUCUUCCCUGAAAGGAUCUUGACUAAUAGAGAAGUUGGUGCCAGGAAACGUCCAAGGAAAUGGACACUCAAAAAUGAGAUUUGGGCAUAAGGGCGGGCGUGACCUGGACUGGAACGCAGACGGAGCUCCUGGAGUGCCCCACGCAGCCACCUUUGCCUGACUGUGAGGAAGCACCUGGAGAAGCCAGUCCCCUGAGGGAGUAGGGGCAUAGAGAAUUUCCUGGUAAGCCUGCUGCUGUUUUUGAAAGAGGAUGAUGAAGUAAACAAGAAAGUACUUGCUGAAGACACAAGGUACUGCUCUGGGCAUGGAGACGGUGAUGACAGCUCCCCAGGGCAGCCACGCACCUCGGACUAUGCAGGGAGAGAUCUGCUUCAGGGCUUAGUAACAUUGGUUUCUUUUAAUUCGUUGAUGAUUCAAUCUGAAAUAUUUAGCUUUAAAAUUAUGAAUAUUCUUGUGCCUCAAUCAGUUUGGGCUGACAGAAUGAAGUACCAUGGACCUGGUGGCUUCACAACACACACAUUUCUUGCAGUUUUGCAGGUUGGAGUCUGACCAAGUGCCUGCUUCUUGAGCACAGGCAGCUGUCUGUCUAUGAGGUUUCACGCAGAGGCCACCUGGCACUGGCCUCCUCUUAUAGGGCACAAACCCCCAUGAGGGCUCUACCUCGCCUUCUCAUGGCCUCCCAGGGACCCCACCUCCAAAUCAUCGCACUGGAAUUAGGGCUUCAACAUGUCGAUCUGGGGACGCAGACACGCAGCCCAUUGCCUGUUGACAAGUGGGUGUUUCCAGAAUCUGGAAUCAUGUGAACGUAUCGGAUUCAGGGUGUGAGUGAGACUCAACCCGGCGGUCACCUGGCCUGCUGUCAAGAUCUUUUCAAGAAGAACAGACUGGAUAUUAGAAGGUUUUACUUAAGAGAGCAUAUAAUGUUUAUUGAUUUAGUAUUAAUUAAUCCUAAUUAUUAACACGAUUUGCUACGAUAGCUUACUUUUGAUACUAUACUCCUUCAUAAAAGCCAACUGUAUCACCAGCGGCUAUAAAAGUAAAUUCACAUUAUAUUAUCUGACUGUUCAAUGGAAAGAUCAUUUUCCAUAAUGAAUGUCACAGUUUUUUUUUUAAAGAGAGAGAGAGAGAGAUAGAAUGUUUUAAUAUUUAUUUAUUUUUUUAGUUUUCAGUGGACACAACACCUUUAUUUUAUUUUUAUGUGGUGCUGAGGAUUGAACCCAGCGCCUUGCGCAUGCCAGGCGAGCGCGCUACCGCUUGAGCCACAUCCCCAUCCCUGAAUGUCACAAUUUAAGAUUAAGUAACAAGCCAUAUUAUUUUUAGUGAUUAACAAUGAUUAAUGUUUGAGGAGGUAGAUAUAUUUAACCCAUAAACAUUACACAAUAUAUACAUGUAUCAAAACAUCACGAUAGCCCCAAAUGUAUAUUAUUUUUAUGUUUUAUCUGAUGGUUAAAAAACAAAUUUAAUUUAAAUUUUAAAAAUGAAUGUUUAAAUGCACGUAUGGUGUAAGACUGUACAUAAAAUGUAUAUAUGAGUUGCAGUUCACAUAGGCCAAUUUAAUUAUAAAUGAAAUGAAUAUUAUUGUCUACUUAACUGUACAUUGAAGCAAAGGAGGAUGGAGUGG